UCCCUAAUACAUCCACCCCAAGUAGUAC
This 28-nucleotide small RNA is filed under the name Bombyx mori (domestic silkworm). Its description in RNAcentral is "ovarian small RNA-27363". The record is from RNAcentral. Lineage: Eukaryota; Metazoa; Arthropoda; Insecta; Lepidoptera; Bombycidae.